UUAUUUUUCUGGAAUUGCUUC
RNAcentral lists this non-coding RNA (21 nucleotides) under Caenorhabditis elegans. Lineage: Eukaryota; Metazoa; Nematoda; Chromadorea; Rhabditida; Rhabditidae. The record is from RNAcentral.